This is a long non-coding RNA of Xyrauchen texanus (razorback sucker), 2517 nucleotides long. RefSeq lists it as uncharacterized. The record is from RefSeq and is a predicted model, not a curated record. The transcript is spliced from 6 exons. Lineage: Eukaryota; Metazoa; Chordata; Actinopteri; Cypriniformes; Catostomidae.
UUGGCCAUAACCGGGUCUUCCAGUAGGAGAAUUACUCUCAUCUAUAUGAUCUAAGGAUCAUUAUAAGUAACAGCGAUUAGCUGAUCAGAAUUAGAUUUCAACAUAUUUGUGAAAUCCCCCAAUCAUAUAUUUGCACUUGCACAGUUUGGAUAUAUUCUGCCAGUGUGAUGCUUGAUUUGUGCAGUCUGGCAACCUGGCAAUCUGUCAUGAGCACACAAGCUCUCUUUCCACAGUGAAAAGGGUGAACACUGAAUAAAAGGUAUGUCUGAGUUUAGCAAUGGGUUGACGUGUCCUUUCAUGGUUCACAUUAAACUUAAACCACUGAAGGUAUUCCAUUUUUUCAACAAUUUCUCAUGCACCUUUAAAAAAGGCCAAGAGAACAGUUCAAAGAAAUCUAUUUACUCUCUAUAAAAAGAAAAGACCAGAAGGUGAAAUAUUGCUAUGACUAGUGCACAGUUAAAAUAUGGAGGCCUAAAUGUUUAUAUUUUAACUGAAACAAUUUUCAGGUUUUUACCCACAAAAUACUUUUGUGUGAAGAGCUACUAAACUGUUUUCCAAAUUUCUGUAACUAGUUUGGCUAUUGGAGUGGAAACGAUUCUCAUAAUUUUUUAGGUUUCAACUUGUUGAAAACCCACUAGUCAGGACACUUUAGGUGGUCCUCACUAGUAAACAAGGCCCCAUAAAUUGGCCAAAACUUGUUUAGCUUUAAAUCUACUGAUGUACACAGGUUUCUGUGAGGGUAAGGUUUAGGGGUAGGAUUAGGGGAUAUAAAAUACCAUUAGCCUUCUAUCAAAUCAAUGGAAGUCUACACUGUAAAAAAUUUCAGUGAAAACUACAGUAAAAACCUGUAAAAUAGCAACAGUAACAGACUGUUUAAACCAAAAUAAUGUAUCACCGUAUUUCAUACAAUAAAUUACUGUGAUUUAAGAAAUGGUACAUGACUUUAAUUUUUACUCUCCUAAUAUGUAAAAAACAUGCAUUCUUACUGUGAAAAUUUUGUAAAAUUAAUGGGAAAAUACCUUAAAUUCACAAGCAAGUAAUUACCCUAAAAUCAAAGGUAUUAUUCUGCGUAAAUUACACAUUUUGUGUCCUAUAAAAUUUACAAUAUAUAACCUUUCAAAAUUCAACAAACACAUACCCUAAAUUCUACAGUAAUUAGAAGUUAAAAAAAUGCUAUGUGUUUGUUAAAUAAGUCAAUUUUAAGGUAAAACAUGUUUAAAUAGACUGUAAUUUACUUUACUUUUGUGUAAUGUUCUUUUGUGAAAAGAUAUGCAACAACCAGGGGUGCCUGGCAACAGGCAAAAAAUAAAUAAAAGAAAAAAAGAAAGAAAAGAAAAGGCUUAGGCCUAUCAUGUAUCUUGCACGUUAAUUGCGAAAUUUUGUGUGGUUAAUUAUUAAUAAAUAGUUUGCUAGUAGUAAGCGGCAUUGAGACAUUUGUCAAAAGCAUGAAAAACCAAGAAGACCAUCAACUGGCAAAGCGCCAAACACGCACACGGAGAGGAGUACCUUCCCGCUUUUGAGGUCACGUGAACUGCGCUGCUUCGGCUUGAUCUGCAUGCAAGUGUCAGCGCCAUUUUAGCACGCAUACAAUCUGUGGGAAUAACGUUACAUGGUGGCACAACACGACUUCUGGGGACUCAACAUUUAUUUUUAAGACUUAAAGGAAUUGGAGGAGAAUGGGAUUGCGGUAUCAGAUGAAACCGUAGUCAAAGGAACCUUGUAUUGCAUUGCUGGAGAUAAUCUAGGGUGACGAUCCUAAUCUAUGUGGACCAGCCCGCACCAUUGAGAGCUACAAUUCAGCUGUAGAUCGCAUCCAGACUGAAGAUACACAAGUGGAAGGAGUAAAAUUCAAAGACGAUCACGUCAAAACACAAUGAACACAACAACACCUGCUAAACAUUCUUCAAAGACUAUGUCCCACCUCUCUUCAAUAAGUCUGGAGCCAAUAAUUCAGACACCAGUCUUAAGGAUAAUUGAGAGAUUAUACCAGUCCACAGUGACUACGUGUGAGUCCUCAGGUAGUACCCGUGACGAUGCAAGCUUUACGUUUCCAGUUUUUCGAACCGACACAGUCCCAUAUCUUCAGUCAAGCGUGGACUCAUUACUAUUGUUCAGCCAGAGCAAGUGUUGCUGAUUGAUGUUUAUUCCACCAUUGGUUAUCCUUCAUUUAUUAUGGACACAUGCAUUUUUUCCAGGAUCAACACAUCUUUGUGAGUAUACUGAACAAGUUGAUCAGCUCUAACUAUUAUAACACAGUGCCUGUAUGAAGAAGGAAAAAAAAAACAGGUUCUUUAAAGUCUAUUAAUGAUAGUCUGUGCCUUGAUUUACAAUGGGUAGUAUGAUUUACAAUGGGUGGUAUUUAAUAGUUAAUUUAGUAAUUUACAAUGUCCUCUGACUGUUGACUUUAAAAUCUAUGGCAACUAACUGUAAUAACUUAUGUGUACUGUAUUUUUUGCGGUGAAAUUCUGGCAACCACAGCUGCCGGUAAAUUUCUGUAAAACUGACCUUUACAAUAAA